UUAUUUAUUUAAACUGUGCGAGACGUUUGGACUGUUUAUUGAUUUACUUUGUAAAACCGUCAUGGGUAGUUACAAAGGAGCUAAAUAAACUGAUCCAAUAGAGAAAUACACAGGUAUGCAGAUACACAGACAGACAGACAGAUCAAUAGGUGUAUAGACAGGCAGACAGGAGUAGAUAGAUCAAGCAAUAGGUAAGAAGGACAGACAAAAAGGUAGACAGACAGGUAGAUAGAGAGACAGACAGACCAGUACGGAUCUAUAGGUAGAUAGACAGACAGACGAGAAUAAAUAGGUAGACAGACAGACAGAUGGGUAGGUAGACAGACAGACAGACGAGUAGAUAGAUCAAUCAAUACUAUAGGUAAGAAGACAGACAGAUAGGUAGAUAGACAAAUCAAUAGAUAGAAAGAAAGACAGGAGUAGAUAGAUCAAACAAUAGGUAAGAAAGAGAGACAAAAAUGUAGACAGACAGGUAGAUAGAGAGACAGACAGACAAGAAGAUAGAUCAAUAGGUAGGUAGACAGACAGAUAGAUAGGUAGACAGACAGAUAGGUAGGUAGACAGACAGAUAGGUAGGUAGACAGACAGACGAGUAGAUAGAUCAAUAGGUAGAUAGACAGACAGAUAGGUAGACAGACAGAUAGGUAGGUAGACAGACAGAUAGGUAGGUAGACAGACAGACGAGUAGAUAGAUCAAUAGGUAGAUAGACAGACAGAUAGGUAGGUAGACAGACAGAUAGGUAGACAGACAGAUAGGUAGGUAGACAGACAGACACGAGGGUAGAUAGAUCAAUAGGUAGAUAGACAGACAGAUAGGUAGGUAGACAAAUCUAGACAGACAGACAGACAGACAGACGAGUAGAUAGAUCAAGCAAUAGGUAAGAAGACAGACAGACGAGUGGAUAAAUAGAGCAAUCAAUACUGUAGGUAAGAAGACAGACACAUAGGUAAAUAGACAGACAGACAGGAGCAGAUAGACAGAUCAAGAGAUAAGCAGAUAGACAGACAGACGAGUAGACAGAGACAGA
Ictalurus punctatus (channel catfish) is the source of this 1028-nucleotide long non-coding RNA. The record is from Ensembl. NCBI's taxonomy places the organism in Eukaryota, Metazoa, Chordata, Actinopteri, Siluriformes, Ictaluridae.